Molecule: long non-coding RNA, 1189 nt
Filed under: Equus asinus (donkey)
Lineage: Eukaryota; Metazoa; Chordata; Mammalia; Perissodactyla; Equidae
Description: lncRNA (ENSEASG00005026434.1)
Source: RNAcentral
UGCAGGGGGUGGAGGAGGCUGUCCUUAAACCAGGAACGAAAUGGGCCCUGUCUGUUCCAGGGGGAGGAACUGGAAGGGAAGGAGGAAAUCCAUUCAGCACGUUGGAUCAGUUCCUCCCUGCCUCCAACAGCUCUGAAGUUCACUAAAGGGCUAGAGCAGGGCUUGGCAAACUGCAGCCCGUGGCCCAAGUCCUGCCGGCUGCCUGUUUUUGUCAAUAAAGUUUUAUUGGGACAGAGCCACACCCAUCAUUUCCAUGUGGUCCCCAGAUGCUUGUGCGCUACAGCAGCAGCCCUGAGUAACUGACACAGGGAGCGUGUGGCCCACAAAGUCUAAAGUAUUUGCUGUCUAGCUCUUUACAGAAAAAGCUUGCCAACCCUGCCCUAGUGAGGGGGUGGCAGAAGCCCUAAGGACUGGGGGGCAUUCAGGAAGCCCCCGUCACAACCUCCCACCCCAGCAGACCCCAGAUCCAGGCUCAGACACGAGGAGCACGUUGGGCUCAGUGGUGGUGGCAUAGAGGUGACUGGCCAAAGAGAGCCGCUGAAAUCCCGGUCUCCACCGAGAGCCCAGCUGCAUCGCUUCAGCUGACGGCCAGUGGGAGUUCUCUGUGCCUCACAACUUGCAGUCUCAGUUCUUCCCUCUCUUGAUACUGGUCUGUUUCUUCUCACCCCACCCCACCCCCACUUGUUUCUGCGAGAACAAAGAAUGCCUUUUGCAUUCUAGAAAACAGAUGCAAAGCUAUGCUUUGGAGGGCUGAGUAAAUUUUCUAAACCUGUAAGACACCAGGACCAUUUUGGAGGGCAAGUGCGACCUGAAGCUAGACUAAAGCUGGUGACUCUUGGAAAGGGAUCGGAAGCAUCAGGGAAUAUGUGCCAGCCUUCCAGAAGCGUUUGUGCUCAAAGGGGUUUUUCCAGUCAUGGGCCACUGACAGGAGAUAGAAAGGCACCAGGUGACCUCCCUCUGGACAUCCCUUUAUGCUGCACAGGGGCUGUUUCUCUGUAGCUCCCAGCAGGGCUGGAAGUGCUUCGUGGGGUCGGCUGUGACUAAGCCAGGCGCCGGGCUGGGCACUGCAGGGGCUUGGACGGGGCCGAGGACAGGAUCAGGGAGCACCCAGGACCAGCAGGGCAUGACGCGAUGGGACGUGUGAGACCACCUGGCCCCUCAGCUCCCCAUCGCACUCCUGUGGCAAGAG